UCGAAACCUGCCCAGCAGAGCGACCCGUGAACACGUUCAACCUCAUGGGUGUUGGGGCGGCAGGUGCCUUGUGUGCUUGCUUGCCCCUAUCCCAGGCCGAGGGGCGCCCACUUGUGAGCCGUCCUCUUGGCCAAACAACGAACCCCGGCGCGUAAAGCNNNAAGGAAUAUAAACUUAAUGUGUGUGCUCUCCCUCUGCMCRRUUAGCCGCUGCGGGGGAGUUKUGCCAURUCUUAACAAUA
RNAcentral lists this ribosomal RNA (241 nucleotides) under Atocion rupestre. The record is from RNAcentral. Lineage: Eukaryota; Viridiplantae; Streptophyta; Magnoliopsida; Caryophyllales; Caryophyllaceae.